UUUUGAAACUGUUAUAACACAACUUAUAACAUUGGAAAUACAUUAUUUUAUUAAUACAAAGUUGUUUUCAUAGUAAAAUACCAAAUUAAAGUCAGAAUGAAACAUACCAUAUACAUGUAGACGACAAAUGAAAACUGUCAAUGUAUCCUUAUCUCUAAAAAGCCACAAAUUACAUUCUUUGAAGUAAAUAUUGGGUUUUAUUUCCUAAACUAUACACAUCAAUAUCACCUCCUGAAGCUUUUUACCCAGUUUCACGGUUGGUAUUUCGGACAUGCAAUGUUCCAUGCUGUCAACCUUGGAAUGCCUCGUUUGGAUACAGGGAGACAAAGACUUGGAGACCCAGAAGUCUGAAAGUGGUUCUUGACCGACUUUGUCCACUCAAAUUAAGGCAUCAUGCAGCUGGUCAUCACUUACAUUGCUGGUUGCACGCAGGCACACACACACCAGUGCUCACAGCCAGCACGUGUUAAGAAUGGCUGAGCUGGACCAAAUGGUAUGCGUGUCUUUCAUCAAUAUAAACAUGGACUGCAUUCAUCUGGACACGGGCCUUUCCCACCUACCGAGCCUGCCCACCACCCGAAGUUUAAGCUCAUCUUGGAAGACCUGACACUCAGCAAGCCGUCUCCCCUUGUUCCACCGGCUUUGUGGCCCCAAUGUCUGUAUAAGCUGCUGAUUUGCCUUCGGAAAACAAACCAGCAUCGAUUUCAGAGAAAUUACUGGAUAAUUUGCGCUGUGAGGCGCCUAGAUCGCAAGGCGCACUCCACAAAUGACAGCCGCUCCCGUGCACUUGUCCAGUCAUUCGGGUGGCAUAGUGUCCGGGUGGAAGCCCGCCAAAAUAAUCCAUUUGGAAGGCACGGAGGGCUUCACUAGAAAUUGCCUUCCUGUAGCUAUGAGACAUUGAGCAAAACAGAUAAGAACUGGGGCAAUGGAGGCAUAAACAUUAAGGCUAGGAUGUAUUUUUGGGGAGAAAGCGGAGGCUAGCAGGGAGGAAGCUCAACUUUAUGCACCGCGCCCGGGAAUGCUUUGCCUUUAACCACUAGCUGAGCCGCCCGGCUGAGGGAGCCCUCCGGCAAUGAGCGCACGCAACCGUGAAGUCAGAUUCCUCCGCCGACCGCGGCCCUCUCUCCUCGGGCUUUGCCUUCGCUCUCCAGCUUUUCUUCUUUCACUCCCGCUCGCCGACUCCAGUCCGCUGGGCUCACGCUCUGCCGGACACCAAUCCCGGCUGCCCUGCCCGACGGAGCUCAAGGCUAGGCCUGGCCUUGUCCGCGGAGUCCGCCCCUCGCCGCCACCGGGAUCCGCCCCCGCGCCGACACGCACUUCCGGCAGCGCCGCGGCCGGGAGGGACCGAGCGGGGAGCAAGGCCUGCGGUGAGGCGCAGGAUGGACGCGUUGGCUGUCAUGAUGUAGGAUCUCCUGACCUAGAACCAUGCCCGGCGCAGGGAGAACAACGAGCUUAUGGACCGGGUGCGGGGGCUGCUGUGCGAGAAAGCCUACCUGCUGGCCCGGGAGCGUUCGCUGGCCCACCUGGUGGCUUUCCCUAGACGUUUAACGGCGACUCCGCCCGGCCUCCCGACUUUUUGAUGCAGGCGUUCUCUUACAUGACUUUCUUCGAGGCUAGAUUCUCGAAAGACAUCCUGAAGGUGGCUUUCUUAAUUAGCUGCCUCACCGAGUGGCGGAGCAGUUCGUAGUCCCCUACAUCGAGAGGGAGAGCCCCGUCCUGGCUCAGUACUAGGGCUUCGUGGACGCGCUGUAGCGGGCCUUGGCCGUUGUGGGUAGGAAACAGUCGGGCCGGAUCCCCGGUGUCUGGGGAGCGGCUGCGGCCCGGGCCCGCGCGAGCCACUUCGCUCCUACAAGCCCGGCUCACUAGUUCCAAGCUGCUGGACUUUGACCCUCGCUGGGAAGCUUGAUCGCCGCCUGUUCUCGCCAAUCUCUGCCUUUGCACUGCCCAGCAACCCGGUCACUGCCCAGGACCUGUUAAAAGUUGAAUGGACCUCCCAGAAUCACGCCGCUGCCACCGCCGUUUCUAGAGACGGCUUUUGGCCACCUUUGAGAAUCAGGGUCAAACUUGGAAGGGCCUGCAUUUGUCACACCUCCUCGGACACUAAUUUGGAUAGUUCAGGCCCAGAGACAGCUUCCCGGAUCCUUUGCACAUGGCCUGCUAUCAACAAUCUUCUACAAUGAUUCUCAGCAUCACCUGGGGAGCUUAUGCAAAAUCUCAAAUUCCUGGGCCCUAUCCCCAGAGUUUCUUAUCGAGUAAGUCUGCAUUGGGAUCUGAGGAUUUGCAUCUCUAACAAAAAUUCCUAGGCGAUGCUCACACUGUUGGUGUAAGGGUGAGUACAAAUUAGAAAUAAAACUAUUUAAUUCUGC
Molecule: long non-coding RNA, 2366 nt
Filed under: Pan troglodytes (chimpanzee)
Lineage: Eukaryota; Metazoa; Chordata; Mammalia; Primates; Hominidae
Description: long non-coding RNA NONPTRT007684
Source: RNAcentral